Molecule: long non-coding RNA, 203 nt
Filed under: Fukomys damarensis (Damara mole-rat)
Lineage: Eukaryota; Metazoa; Chordata; Mammalia; Rodentia; Bathyergidae
Description: lncRNA (ENSFDAG00000022214.1)
Source: RNAcentral
GCCUGAUUCUCAGGGCCAUCCUCAAAGCAGGUGUCCCCACCCCACUUCCUGGAUGAGGAAGUCCGCUCUGGGAAGAGAGAGAGACCUGCCCGGGAUGACACAACUGCGAGUGGCAGAAACCCCGGUCCCUGGAGAAGUCAGCUCAUGGACAGCAGAACAUGGCGACUUCUUUUCCUUCAGGAAGUCUGCCAGGAAGACCAGCC